RNAcentral lists this unclassified non-coding RNA (3797 nucleotides) under Hevea brasiliensis (rubber tree). The record is from RNAcentral. Lineage: Eukaryota; Viridiplantae; Streptophyta; Magnoliopsida; Malpighiales; Euphorbiaceae.
CCCAUCAAAAACUUUCUUUUUUUAAAUUUAUUAAAUCGGUAAAUUAACAAAAAAAAAUCUUCAUAAAAUAUCUAAAUACCCUCGAAAGCUUACAUUCUUAUCAAAGAAUAAAAAAAAAUAUAAAAAUUCAAAAACCAUUAAAAAUUUUUCUUUAAAACACCUUACUUUACCCUAUUUCCAAAAAGCACCUCUUCCCAAAAAGUGUAACCAGCAUUUUGUGAACGAUUCAUGCUCUUGUGGGGAAACUGUAAAUUUAUGACUGUUUCGUGACGCAGCUGUCUCAAAAGCGUCUGCUACUGUUAAAGUUGUUCUCUAGCUGUUAAAAGUAAAAUUCGCGGGAGUCCUUGCUUCUGUGGUCUACGAAACUAUAGUCAAGCUUCCCAGCUGUUUCUGUUGAUCUGCAAUUUGUAAAUGGUAAAAUAAUAGCUUUCAGUCCAUUUGCUUCUCUUACAUAGAUUAGAAUUAAGAUAGAAUUCUUUAAAUCAGCUCCCUAACAAUCCAAAAAGAUGACGAUAACAUAGUGCUUUGUGAAUAGAAAGUGCAUGCUUCGAUUCUGGGCUAAACUAAAGCAAUAUUGCAGCAUCAGCAAUGGAUCCAAUGAGAAUAAUUCUGUACAUAAUUUUUCAUUGACCCAUAUCAUACAACGCAUAACCAGCUGACAAUUAAGAAUCUCAUUUAUAACUUAAAACCAGAUAUUCAAAUUAGUAACACCUACAACUACACUAGAGGAGGAAAAAUACAAAAGAACCCUACCAACCAAAGGUACAAUUUUCCAUGUGCCUCAGUAAAACUGUGAUGAGGAAUUGAUGACCAGCUAAACGGAAUGCUACUGCAAUCUUUGAGAGCAAUCCUUCGAUCAUUGACACCCCCUCCCACAAACUUACAUUCUCAAGUCUAACACACAUACUGUAUUGUUGGCAAAGCAUGCUGCAAUUUUGUCACCUUCCUUGUUCCAACAAACCUCAAAUAUUCCACCAUUGCCUGUGUACGUUUUCACGAUCUUAACUUCCUUCAAAGACCAGAUGUUGACACAUCUAUCAAGGGACCCACUAGCCAGAUACUCCCCAUUUGGGCUAAAUGCUACCGAGUACACAGGAUCCCUGGGGAUUCAAUUAAAAGACAGUUGCCAACAUCAAUUAAAAAUAGGGUAGCAUAAUUGAAAGAAUGGUCCUGCCACAUGAAGGUCUCGAAAAGAACAUUUUAUAAACCACAAGAUGAAUGUUGACUAACAAGAAUACACGAUAAUGUAACAGACACUUCUCAAUUUUGCAAGGUGCAUAGCCAGGACGUAACUUCCCUCCUAAUUCCCAUAAAAUCAGUUGUGUGAGUUACCUCGCUAGGAGUAAUUGCUGGUUAGGAUUGUUUGUACCAGGUCCAGUGGGGCUCCAUCUGAUGGUGUAGAUCUCCUUAGAAUGUUCCCUCAAAUCAUGAACAUAUUUGUCCUGCUUCAUGCUCCAUAUCUGCAGCACAAUUUCCCAUGAGCGGCUAACUAUUAAAAUAAAAUGCAACUAGUAAUAAACUGAAAGUAACAUAUCCAACUGACUUAAAAAAAGGCUUAUGGAUUAGGACAAGAUAAUCCCAAGUAACACGUGUACCUAGCUGGCACGAAACUAAAGAUGCAAUACACGUCCAUAAUUGAAGAAAAAUUCAGUGUAUAUAACCUUAGCAGUGAUAUCAUCAGAGCAUGAAGCCAGUAAUGAGCCAGUUGGAUCCCACUUGACACAAUUAACCUCACCCUGAAAUUGUACAACUCACAAAAAUUAACCCCAAAAAAAGCUGCAUAUUGUAACAGUUUUCCACAAAACCAGUUAAUCAGAUAACAAUCAUGUAGAUAAGAGGACUCAAUAUAUGGCUUUCUCUUUCACACAAACAACAAACUGGUAAAACAUUGUUGCACACCAGAUAAGGCCUCCACAGCUGUCAAACUGAAGUCUGGCCAGACUGGUGACAAGUUAAAUAUUUACAAGCAUAAAAUUGUUGUAAGCUAUUUUUUUCACCAGAUUGGAGGCAUAUUGAACUGAAAAAUCAUAGUCGCGAUUUAGGUUGCAGUAUUUAGCAGUUGAAUGCAGGAACAAACCUGAUGCCCAGCAAAAGUUUUAACCGGGCGGUUAUCUCCAACUUUGCAAACAUAUAUCAUAUUGUCUGUGGAGCUUGUGGCAAAUGAAAGAUUAUUGCGCCAGUCAACAUCAAGUAUAGGACCUAAAAGACACAAAUGUGAAAGUUCAAAUCCAACAAUAAUGAGUUACUGAAGGAAGAAAGGCCACUUGUUCUGGAGAUUUUACUGCAGUUUAAACCUGAAUGAAAUUCAAACUGUUGUCUCCAUUCCUCACUUUUCACAUCCCACACUAUCGCAGUUUUGUCACAGCUUCCAGUAAGAAGAAAAUCCCCUUUUUUAUUCCACUUCAGAGAAAAUAUAGGACCUUUGUGUUUGCUCAAUGUAGUCUUCAGUUCACCUGGACCAGGGGAAAUUUCCAGAAUGCAGUGAAAAGCUAAAUUACCAGCAUCACAAUUAACAACAGAAAUUAAUUUUCUCUAAAUUUCAAAAAAGAACUAAAAACACUACAUUAAUAAGAGAAGACUGCACUAGCUUUGGGCUCAUUAAGAAAACCAAUCUCAAGUCCAUGGUUUGACCCAUCAGCUUGAUUCCUCAAAAAUUCUGGUGGAAACAUUUAAUAUACAUAAAAGUUUUUGCUGUACUAGUUUUUCUAGGUGACUGAUUCAUUACAGCUGCCUACUGAAGUAUUGAUGUGAACGUGCUGUAUAUAUGGCUUCAUACACUAGGAACAAGAAACAGGCUCCACAAAAAGGAAGUAAUAUGCCAGCACACUCCAUUUGUUGGCUGCUAUUUGUAUAUAUUAAGCUUGUUGCAGGCCUUUUCAGGAGAAAUAGAGGGUCAUGAACCAAGUCAUGCUAAAAUAUCUUACCAUUUGUGUUCCAAAUUCUUGCUUGCCCGUCAUAUGAACCUGUUGCUAGUAAGGUUCCCUCACCAUUCCAAUCUAAUGUUGUAACAUCUUUGCUCUUCUCAUUCGUCCUUCCCUUUACAUGCUUCAAUACCAGCACAUUUAGAGGACUAUUCUGCAGACCAGAUCUAGAUGUCCCCUCUGCUAUUGUCCAAAUACGUGCUGUGGAAUCUCCAGAUCCAGAUGCAAGAAGUGAUCCUGUUGGGCUCCACGCACAGGCACAAACCUCAGAUGUAUGUCCCUCCAAAAUCAUCACAUCAGAACUUGGAAUCUCGCAUACCUGGGAUGUUGAUGUAGUAGAGACUUCCAUUGGUUCUGGUACUCCAGAAUUUCCAUUUUCCUCAUGUUUGACAUUAUUUUUAUCCGCUUGAUCAGCAACCAUUUCUUUAUCAGUAUUAUCCUCUUGCUGCUUUUCUCCCUCUUUUUCCUUUUCUACCCUCUCUCUAUCCUUUUCAUUUUCCUUCUCCCUUUCAUGCCUAUCCUUAUCCCUUACUCGUGCACGUUCUCUUUCAUGCUCCCUUUCAAAUUCUUUAUCUUUUUCUUUGUCCUGGUCUUUCUCUUUAUCUUUAUCUCUGUCCUUGUGCAGAUUUUUUUUCUUAUCCUUUAUCAUUUGCCGUAAUUCAUAUACAUCUUUUGUUAUAAGAUCCAAAGGUUGCAAGAAUGAGAAAUCUUCAUCCACAUCUGCAUCACCAUUACUCAAAUUUGCUUCCAUUUCCAAGUACUGAAUUCCCUUUUGUACAAAUGUAAUAAGAGCACCAGGAGGAACCAUAUUGCCAUCUAUGGUACAUUUGUUAAUACCUGCCUCAUAUCCUAAAGCAAAAGCUGAAUGUGUAAAAC